RNAcentral lists this ribosomal RNA (253 nucleotides) under uncultured bacterium. RNAcentral's name for it is "partial 16S ribosomal RNA". It matches the Rfam family "Bacterial small subunit ribosomal RNA", at positions 524 to 776 of the family's 1533-position model. The record is from RNAcentral.
GACGAACCGUGCGAACGUUGUUCGGAAUCACUGGGCUUAAAGGGCGCGUAGGCGGGUCAGCAAGUCGGGGGUGAAAGCCCACAGCUCAACUGUGGAAGUGCUUUCGAUACUGCCGAUCUCGAGGGAGGUAGGGGCGUGCGGAACUUCCGGUGGAGCGGUGAAAUGCGUAGAUAUCGGAAGGAACACCGGUGGCGAAGGCGGUGCGCUGGACCUCUUCUGACGCUGAGGCGCGAAAGCUAGGGGAGCGAACGGG